Daphnia magna is the source of this 5110-nucleotide long non-coding RNA. RefSeq lists it as uncharacterized. The record is from RefSeq and is a predicted model, not a curated record. The transcript has 9 exons. NCBI's taxonomy places the organism in Eukaryota, Metazoa, Arthropoda, Branchiopoda, Diplostraca, Daphniidae.
GUUUGUUUUCCACCUCCAUCCCCCUUUUUCUCGCAUACUAAAAACAAAGAAGAUAUUCUCCAUACACAGGAAUAUCAAAGCGUAAACAGAAAUAAUAGCGGCACAAAAAUUUCCCGCCAAUUCGAGAGGUCUCAUAAUUGUGGCUGCACAUAAUGUAUACUAGCGUGCAAAGCUUCACCCAUUGUAAAUUCGCAAGGAGCGACGGUAUAUUUCUUGUCGCGUCCUAGAGAAAGACAUCACGUGAAAUUCUUCUCUGGUUUCGUUGAAUCUUGAAAAAUCUGUUGGGCUGCGUUUCUCGUCUGAACUGUUAAGAUUCGAUUGCAUGCCAGAAGUUUUCAAAUUUAUUUAGAAUCAUCAUUGACUAAUAGAGUUCAAACAAAAAUGGCAUGUGGAAUGCUGCAAAAAAUCCUUGAUAAGGGCAGCGUCAGAGGGAAACAUGGAAAUUCAUAGUUUGUUUGGUUUUCCAACUUGAACACUUUUGCUUUUGUAUUUUUCCAUACAACCACACCGUACAAUUUGUAAGUGGUGUGUAUUACUCUGUACCACUGGGACACACAAUGUGUUUCAUGCUGAAAAUGCCUCAAGUUCUUGAACAGAAGCAUUAGGAUGAAACAGGAUGGUAAAAAUCAUCAGCACGAAAUGGGUGUUUUAAUCCUGGAAGAUUUGCAAUUGGUGCAUUCUGCAAAAAAGAAAUCUAAAACUACAUAUAGGGUCUGCUGGAUUGUCUCUUUGGGGGCCACUAAAUUGUAUUACAUAUGCACCCAAACAAUGUUUCAGUGGUUGUUGAUUGUUGAGGCAUCUCUACACUCGAUUGUGCUUUUCCAAGGAUGCAUUGGUCAAUGGGUUUUCCUCUAGUCCUUUAAGGUUCCUGAAAUCAGCCUGAAGAUCUACACAGACAAACAUCAUGUGGAUUUCAGCGGUUCUAACCGUGGCCUGUUUUGUACGCGAUUGGAAGGUGAAAUGACUUUGGCUGUCGCUGAGCUAUUAACAGAGCUGACAUCCGAAGUCACAACACCACUUUUUCUUUUUAACGUCAUCAAAUCCCUGGUCGUGUUCUUUUGCACUGAUGCAGCAUUAGCAUCGAAAAAGGAAGGUGGAGACUCAAAAUUCCUUUCGCGAACAGUAAAAAUGUCUUGUUAAGAGACUGCCAUAAGCAUCACUCAAUCCUGAUGACGUUCUCGCCGCAUCUCUUUCAGCCUAUUGGGACCGAAGGCCCAUCUUAAUCGUACUUGCUGAUAAGUUCAGGGAAUAGUGUGUGUCUUGACAGGAAGUUUCUGAAUUGCCAAUCCAGCUGACUGACAACACGCUCCCAAAUGGCUUGACCACCUUGCGCAAAAGAAAGACCAGAGGACGAAUAGUCACUUUGAUCUCCGUAUUUGCCGUGGUUUUACGGCUGUCAUCAAGUAGUCUGUCGGACCCAAAUAUUCGAGUGGCUGGAUGAAAGUGUAUGCAGCUCCAUCAUUCCCGGCUGGCUCCGAUAAUCUUCUGAUCGAUUGACCCCAAUAGUAUGCAAAAUCUUCAGCGGAUGGUGGAUGAUGGAAAAGGGAACGAGAAUAACAACAAAGAGAAGGUAUUUUUUUUUUUUUUACGUCAGAGACGAGUAGGGCCAUUACGACAAAUGCAUUUCCAAUUCAAUAAAUAACAGCAUAUAUGGAAGAGAACAAAUUGAGACGAAGAAAAUAGCGUGACUCGGUUUUUGAUGGAUUAGCUGUAGUCUUGUCACUCUGUAAAUUUUAUAUGAAAUCAACAAAUUUAACAAUCAAUUAUCUAAGAAUUGGCUUCAUUUCAUUGUUUUGAUAAUUCAAUUCACGUAAUACGAUGACAGUGCUGGAUUUUAUUUGUUUUUCUCAUUGAACGUUCCUGGCAGCAAUGGACGUUAAUUCUAUGUCUAAUCUUGGACUGUUGGUAGUUCAAGUCAUGGUCGAACUAUUUGACGCUGCCAGUAUAGCGAUGAUGCCCGGUGUUGCCGCCGUUGUCGUCGAAUUCAAAAUUGUCCCCAGCUGGCCCGUCUGUUGCGGCGAGAAAACGUUACUGGAUGCCGUCCCGUUUAUCUGGAUCAUGUCCCCGUUACUUGAAACGGAAGUGAACGUCUGCAAUUCAUUUUCUUUGCGCACUAGAACGAGAGAGACAAAAAGGGAUGAAACAAGUCACCACGAUUUGCCGUCCAUUUGGCAUUUUGCCGGCUGCAAUAUGGCCGGUAUCGGUUAGAAAAGGAAAUGGUCAGCAGACGAUAACCAGAAGUCGAUGACCGAUGGAUACACGCCAUGGCCCGCCUUAUAGUCGCGAGGCCGUUUCACAUGGCAACGGCCACGUGUGAUAAUCCCUUGCAGCACGCUGCACCGUGUGUGUACAAUCGGAGAAACGUCGAGACGGUCUUAAGUUAUAAAAUCUGCUGGCCAUCGGCGUAGGAGGAAAUGAGAUUUCCAGUGCGCCGAAGACCGCGAACGGCAGAGACGGAAGGAAGUUGAUGGACUGAUUUAUACCGUACUGCUUUCACUCAUAUGCCGCGGCUGAACCGCAGCACACUCGGCUGGAUGCCAAGUGGAUUGGACAGAAGAAUCGAGUCGACAAACAACAAAGAGAUGGCCGGUAAAAUAUGCAAUACGUUUUUCUACUUUGUUAUUGAUGAACACGGCGACAUUGUUUGCAUCAUAUUUUUUAAAGCGAAUCAGCCAGGACAUACAGAGAGAAAGGACGGCAACGCAGCAUCCGCCAAUGCCUGCAUAAAAUGCAUCGUCCCAAUCUAAACGUUUCGGUGACGCACUGUCCCAUCACACGCAGUCCGGCACAUCAUUGCACCGUGUCGCCUGAGAACAAACAGCUGCUCUAUUCUGGGAACGGCCAACCAUGUAGGUCACACUGGAUGGUCCAACUCGGUUGAGUACGUCCGGCCCGACCCACUGAAUACGGACGUAGUGAAUUCGGCGUAUGUCAGACACAAUCGCAACAUUUUAAUUCAACGUAGAAAUGAGCCAAACAUCGAGCGUAACGCAUGCCGUUUACACAACGUGUAAACUGAUGUGGAUGGAACUCUCAGGGAAUCGCCCAUUCGUCAUCUUUUGGCCAUCGAUGGCCUGACAAGGGACACGAAAUCGCGUAGGCGCCUUGCGUUGAAAGACAUUUCGUGCAGCAGCAGCAGCAGCACACAUACCGUCAUUCUAAAAACGGCUUCGUCACACAGCAUUCGUCAAACGCCGGUUCACUGGUGAAUGGAGCGUGAGAGGUGAAAGAGAUUGAAUUAUUUUCACUUAAAAAACUUGUUUUUUUUUUUCUAAUAUUUCGGUGUCGUGUCGCUUUUGCUGUCCACGGCCAAUCUGUGCCCGUUUCCCCAUUUACGGACGGUUGAAUUUAGAACGUUAUAGUUGUCUGCUGUACGAGCGCUGAAACCCAAUCUGCUUAGCAACUAUGCGAACACCGCCGACGUCUUUCUUAUAUUUAGAUCGUCGUCUGUUGUAGCAAAGUAAAAACACAAACUAUUUCAUCGUGGUGUCAUACUGCCGUUUUGGCAAGAACGAAUGUUGGCCGUGCGGAAUAAGGUCCAUAGCAGAGCGCCGAAUCGUCCGUAGCGCAUUCAAAUGGGCUAGUCGAUCGCAAAGUCACUUCAUCUCCCAUGACCAAAGAAAAUGAUGGUCUAUUUCGAGCAAUCGAUAAGAGAGCAUCAAAAAGGACGGCAUCGGGCCUCCUAUUUCUACAGGGGCACGUCAAUAAGGAACAGACACUAGGCGCGUUCAUCGGCGAAUUUUCCAAUCAUGGCUCCAUGUAUUCAGCGUUGAAUGCCAGGUCCAUGUAGUACGUCUUGGGCAAUCACGACGAAAGAUGGGCAGCUAUUUGGUUUCCGUCAAGUACAAUCAAUGACUCGACGUCGGAAAAAAAAAGUUGGUAGACGGCCAGACAGAAUAAAUGACGGUCACUGAGUGCAUCGAGCCAUCCGAACGAGUUUAGCUUGCCUUAUAUAAUAGUGUAUACUGAAUUUCUCCAUGAAUGAUGGUGCGCGCGUAACAGAGACCGUCUUUUUUUAAAAAACCCAAGUUGGAUAUGUUUAACAACAAAAGUUGGAUCAAACAAGUUUUUGAUCAAUUGGAAUUGAAUCAAGACCGCAGAUAAUUGGAUGAUGUUAUCAAAUGGGUAAUUGAAUCACUAAUAAUAACUUGAUGGAAACCCAUUAGAUAAUGUCUUCCCCCUGCAUAGAGUACAAAAGGCAAUCCUUGUAUAGCGUAUAGGCCAACUAGGAAAGGAUUGCUAAUCACGUCAAGUGCUGAAAAGAAGAAGAAGAAAAAAGCCAACAGAUGACAGAAGCUGCGGCACCGGUCGGUAAAAACUGUGUGCACCCGACAUCAAAGUGGUGGUCAGGAGACACGCAGGCGCCCGACGGACAGAGAAAACAAAAAAGUUUAAAAGUAUUUUCGGUGGUACGAUGAAGAUGUGCGUUUGCCGGCCAGCGAGUGGACGCUCAAGACUUUGUAGAAGAAAUAAACAAUUUAUUGUUUCGUUUCUAUACAAGAGCCUCUUCUUCCGUCUCUCGUGUUAUUCUCUUAUCCCUCCCGUGCAGUGUGGCCACGCGUUUUUCGGCCAAACGCAUUCGUCUAUCAUUCAAAGGCUGCCCCAUGUUGUGAAGGACAGUGACGUCAUCUUGAAACGUCUUUUUUUUCUGGGGAGGGGGGGAAAUGUUCAAUUAACUUUCGAAACUUGGUGGUGGUGGUGGAUGGCUCUUUAUCUAUUAGUCGGCAGUGUGUGUAGCUUUCACAUUAGCUCGACUGGGGAGACGAUAAAAACGAACCCGCGCUGUUUACAGAAAAUGAGAUCAAACUGGAAAAUGCAAUCUCUUCGAGGAAACGCAUCUUUGGUUUAGAGGUUCGAAGGCACAUUCAGUCAACUCGGCAACGCUAUUUUCCAACAGCCAAUUUUGUGCAACAUGACUCGAUUGGUGUGGCGCUGCAACGUGCAGCACCUGCUCAUCGGAACAGAUCAAGGUUGAGGCUAGAAAAGAUAAAUACCGGCUUCGUCAAUGGCCGACGCAUGGAACAGUGAAAUGAGGACGAAAAGGGCGCUGGCCAUCAGUAAGAUGAACGUGGUGCACACGACGGCCAUGACCACUUUCCUGCGACGUCGC